AUGGGGUCCCCGAAGGCGGCCAGGAGCAAGGCGGGCCAGCUGGGCGGCAUCUGGCGCCGCAGGGUCGGCGCGCCCUUCGCCGCCCUCCUCGUCGCGGCCGUCCUCGUCCUCGUCCUCUUCACCGGCCGCUUCCCGCAGGGCCCCGACGCUUCCUCGCGGUUCACCCCGGUACAUGUGGACGACUCCACCCCCCGGACGGUGCGCGACCGGCCGGUCUCCUCCACGGACCAAGACUUGGAGACAUCUGAUUCCUCAAAGCAAGAAGGGGAGACGUCUGAUUCGUCAAAGCAAGAAGAGGAGGGGAGUGACCAAAAAAUUGAGCUUGAUGAAUCUUCCAUGGAGGCAAUGGAAGAGCAGAAACAGCCUCCAGAGGACACUCCUGAGACCAAACCAGCAUCUCAAGGCACUACUCCAGCCAACUCCGACUUGGACGGCGAGGGAGGGAUGGCGACCACGACCGCGCCGGACCAAGAAGAAAGGAAUGCAGGAGGAUCUGGUUCAGCACCAUAUACCAAGUGCACACCUCCACCGAACUCGACGGUCUGCGACCUCUCCAACUCACGCUUCGACAUCUGUGAGUUGUGCGGCGAUGCUCGCACCAUUGGUCAGUCGUCCACUGUCAUGUAUGUCCCACACACACAAACUUCCGACGGUGAAGAGUGGAGUAUUCGAGCCCAGUCUCGGAAGAACCUUCCCUGGGUCAAGAAGGUGACUGUCAAAUCUCUGAAUACCUCGCAACCAGCACCAAGGUGCACCUCCAAGUAUGCCAUGCCAGCCAUUGUAUUUGCCCUUGGUGGGCUCACAGCAAAUGUGUGGCACGACUUCAGUGAUGUCCUUGUUCCACUGUUCCUCACUGCCCGCCAGUUCGACAGGGAUGUUCAACUCCUUGUGACAAACAACCAACCCUGGUUCAGCAAGAAGUACAUGACAAUCCUGAGCAAACUCACACGACACGACAUCAUAGAUUUUGAUUCAGACGACCAGGUCAGGUGCUAUCCGCAUGUCAUUGUUGGUCUGAGGAGCCAUGGUGACCUUGGCAUCUAUCCAAACCUGUCACCACAGAACUACACAAUGAUGGACUUCCGGUUGUUUGUCCGGGGAGCCUAUGGUCUGCCUGCAGCCAAGGUGGCCAUUCCCUACAAGGCUGAUAGAGAUGAUCCUGACAAGAAGCCCCGCAUAAUGCUAAUUGAUCGGGGCAAAACCCGGAGGUUCAUCAACGCACCGUACAUUGUCCAAGGGCUGGAAUGGUUUGGUUUUGAGGUGGUCAAGGUUGACCCGAAGAUGGACUCUAGUCUUGAUGAAUUCGCCCGCCUUGUUGACUCGUGCGAUGCAAUCAUGGGCGCGCAUGGCGCGGGCUUGACUAACAUGGUGUUCCUGCGAUCAGGGGGAGUGGUGGUGCACAUUGUGCCGUAUGGGAUUGAAUUCAUGGCUGAUGGGUUCUAUGGAAAACCGGCACGGGACAUGGGCCUAGGCCAUGUCAGGUACAGCAUCAGUCCAGAGGAGAGCACGUUGCUGGAGAAAUAUGGGUGGAACCAUACUGUGAUCAAAGACCCCAAAGCCAUUAGGAGCAGUGGAUGGGACAAGGUUGGGGAGGUUUACAUGUCCAAGCAGGACAUUGUCCUUAACAUGACAAGGUUUGGGCCUGUUUUGCUGAAGGCAAUAGAUUUUAUCAUGUAG
This 1677-nucleotide ribosomal RNA is filed under the name Triticum aestivum (bread wheat). Its description in RNAcentral is "partial small subunit ribosomal RNA". The record is from RNAcentral. Lineage: Eukaryota; Viridiplantae; Streptophyta; Magnoliopsida; Poales; Poaceae.